This is a long non-coding RNA of Orcinus orca (killer whale), 288 nucleotides long. RefSeq lists it as uncharacterized. NCBI's taxonomy places the organism in Eukaryota, Metazoa, Chordata, Mammalia, Artiodactyla, Delphinidae. The record is from RefSeq and is a predicted model, not a curated record. The transcript is spliced from 3 exons.
GUCACAGCCGGGAUCGCUCUAAAUGCUUUCAGCAGACGCUUUCCAGAAAGCCAGUCCAGCUAAUCAAAGGUUACACCCUGUACUGGUCCCUCAGGGAAUCAGGUUACACCCUGCACGGGUCCCUCAGGGAGUCAGGUUACACUCUGUACGGGUCCCUCAGGGGAUCAGGUUACACUCUGUACGGGUCCCUCAGGGAGUCAGUACAGGUCAACACAGACGACCACAGCUUUUUGAGAAUGAGGUCAGUAUAGCCUCCUGGCACCAGCAAGUCACACUGGGAAAGGAGGC